AGAGUUUGAUCCUGGCUCAGAUUGAACGCUGGCGGCGUGCCUAACACAUGCAAGUCGAGCGGUAACAGGUGUAGCAAUACAUGCUGACGAGCGGCGGACGGGUGAGUAACGCUUGGGAAUCUGCCUAAUAGUGGGGGAUAACUCGGGGAAACUCGAGCUAAUACCGCAUACGCACUACGGUGGAAAGCUGGGGACCGCAAGGCCUGGCGCUAUCAGAUGAGCCCAAGUCGGAUUAGCUAGUUGGUAGGGUAAUGGCCUACCAAGGCGACGAUCCGUAACUGGUCUGAGAGGACGACCAGUCACACCGGAACUGAGACACGGUCCGGACUCCUACGGGAGGCAGCAGUGGGGAAUAUUGGACAAUGGGCGAAAGCCUGAUCCAGCGACGCCGCGUGGGUGAAGAAGGCCUGCGGGUUGUAAAGCCCUUUCAGUGGGGAAGAAAAGCCUCGAGUUAAUAUCUCGGGGUCUUGACGUAACCCAUAGAAGAAGCACCGGCUAACUCUGUGCCAGCCGCCGCGGUAAUUC
RNAcentral lists this ribosomal RNA (525 nucleotides) under uncultured Gammaproteobacteria bacterium. RNAcentral describes it as "bacterial SSU rRNA". It matches the Rfam family "Bacterial small subunit ribosomal RNA", at positions 8 to 526 of the family's 1533-position model. Lineage: Bacteria; Pseudomonadati; Pseudomonadota; Gammaproteobacteria. The record is from RNAcentral.